Molecule: ribosomal RNA, 700 nt
Filed under: uncultured bacterium
Lineage: Bacteria
Description: bacterial SSU rRNA
Rfam family: Bacterial small subunit ribosomal RNA
Source: RNAcentral
CAUGCAAGUCGAGGGGCAGCACAAAGAUAGUUUACUAUUUUGGUGGCGACCGGCGCACGGGUGAGUAACGCGUGUGCAACCUACCUUAUACAGGAGUAUAGCCCGAAGAAAUUCGGAUUAAUCCUCCAUAGUAUUUUCUAAUGGCAUCAUUUGGAAAAUUAAAGCUUCGGCGGUAUAAGAUGGGCAUGCGUCCUAUUAGCUAGAUGGUAAGGUAAUGGCUUACCAUGGCAACGAUAGGUAGGGGGCCUGAGAGGGUGACCCCCCACACUGGUACUGAGACACGGACCAGACUCCUACGGGAGGCAGCAGUGAGGAAUAUUGGGCAAUGGAGGCAACUCUGACCCAGCCAUGCCGCGUGCAGGAGGAAUGCCCUAUGGGUUGUAAACUGCUUUUAUUUAGGAAUAAACCCUUCUACGUGUAGAAGGCUGAAUGUACUAAACGAAUAAGCACCGGCUAACUCCGUGCCAGCAGCCGCAGUAAUACGGAGGGUGCAAGCGUUAUCCGGAAUCAUUGGGUUUAAAGGGUCCGCAGGCGACGUAUAGGUCAGUGGUGAAAUCCUGCAGCUUAACUGCAGAACUGCCAUUGAUACUGUACGUCUUGAAUUCGGUCGAAGUGGGCGGAAUGUGUAGUGUAGCGGUGAAAUGCAUAGAUAUUACACAGAACACCGAUAGCGAAGGCAGCUCACUAGGCCUGGAUGACG